This 252-nucleotide ribosomal RNA is filed under the name uncultured bacterium. RNAcentral describes it as "partial 16S ribosomal RNA". It matches the Rfam family "Bacterial small subunit ribosomal RNA", at positions 524 to 776 of the family's 1533-position model. The record is from RNAcentral.
UACGUAGGUGGCAAGCGUUGUCCGGAGUUAUUGGGCGUAAAGCGCGCGUAGGCGGCUAUGUAAGUCUGAUGUUAAAGCCCGGGGCUCAACCUCGGUUCGCAUUGGAAACUGUGUAACUUGAGUGCAGAAGAGGAAAGUGGUAUUCCACGUGUAGCGGUGAAAUGCGUAGAUAUGUGGAGGAACACCAGUGGCGAAGGCGACUUUCUGGUCUGUAACUGACGCUGAGGCGCGAAAGCGUGGGGAGCAAACAGG